UAUACAUAUAAAGUCGAACAGAUGCCAGAGCGUCGAGGGAGUGCGCGAAUUGUCUCUAGGGGUUAUUUUCGGUCAAUUAUCAUCCCGGGGAUCGAGUAUAUAUAGGAGGAAAAAUCAGCCCAUCAAUUCUCCCUUGCUCCCUCCCAACAGCUUAGGCCGAGUGAGUUUUAUAUUUAGUUUAGAGCCUCGACUUACGCACUCCACCGUUCAUAUAGAAAUGUACAUAAUACAUACGUAUUGUGCACUUGCACUUUCUUCCAAGAGUCAUCGGUAAAUACUUCUGACUACGUGAUUUUUUUUUUAUGUAAUUAUCCCCGGCGAAUGACGCCCUCAGUGAUACUACCAUAGAUAUAUGUUCGAUAUAUCUAUGAUGUAUGUAUUAUUCUAUGUAUUUACUUUUCACUUGUACGUGUAAUAUACGGCCAACGGGAGCUAUUGGAAGCCUGAAGAUAAACCACAUACAUAUAUCACCAUUUAUGUAACACAUAGUACGUACAUAUACGUUAUGUACAUGCACAGAAAUCCAUGUGUCUAUCAAUCACGAUUACGAGUUACGACCCCCCCAUGGUCAGAAAAAACCAAAUGGUGUGGCUUCUUCGACUCUGUUUUUUUUUUUUUUAUGUUAUCGAAAAGACGUUUGCGAUUCGAAGUUUAUGAUCACGGUGGAAAUAUCAAUGAGAGUAAUUUGAGCGUAGAACAUUAAUUGAUGCCAAGGAAAUAUAAAAUAAAGGAAGGAAAUUGAAAAAAGCAACGAAAAAAAUGAAUAGAAUGAGACAUAUUUUUGUGUAUAACGUGUCCUUGUAACAAUCGUCCGACUUUCAUUUCCCGCGCUUUUUAAUAUUUUAUCAACGUAGCGUGUAAGUUAUACGGAUACAGAAAGAGAAAAAUAAAAAUAAAGAAUAGGAUAAAGAGGAGCAGAUAAUGUAAAACAAAUGGAAGAAUACGUAUACCCGUAAGUAAGAAAAAAUAAAACACGUAGAUGUACGUAUUACACUCGGGUUGCAUUCGCUUUGGCGAACGUUGUCGUUUGUCUGCAAUUGAAAUUUCCGCAUUCGAAUCGAGAUUUGAACUUCAAAGUUUAUUCUUGUAGCAUUGUGUGCACGUAUCGCGCAGACACAAGAUAUUCGUACGAACAAUAUGCAUGGCCUUUUUAUUUUUCGAAAUUCAUUGAAACGCUAACAUCGAUUGGCUCCGUCACGGCUAUCGAUUCGCAAUAAAAUAGGUACCAUACCUUUCUCGACAAUGCCAAAAGCUCCUUUUCCUUACAACGAGUCCGCACGAAAGUAAUUUUCUGUGGACUCAAUGCGAAAAAAAAUGUUCGUUAAAAGUCAAACGUCUUCCGACAUUUUUACUCCAUUUAUCGUUGGAUACGCUUAAAGACAAACGCACGUUGUUUGUGCGCCGAAUUACGUUUUUUCUCUCGAGCCAAAGAGCUGCGAAAAUUUUCAAGAACUAAACAAAGAACUGAGAGCAAAAGAACGAACAGACACUCCCGCAGUCGGUGUAGUACGGGGUGCGGUGAAGAGAACUCUCCACAAAAAAGGAAAAAAAAAUCUUUUAUCUCAAAGACCUAUAGCUCCGGAUUUUCGGAGGUUCAAUUAUUUCUACAAUAAUACAAGCGCGGGAAACUCUAGAAGAAACAAGAGAUACCCCAUCACAGCUGCUUGGGGCAAUCGCGAUAAAAGAAGACAAACAAACAAACAAACAAACAAACACUGUAAUUCUUCUUUCGGUUCGUAUUCUUUUUUUUUUUUUUUUUUUUUUAUUUAAACGUCGCUCUAUAAAUUCCGUUGUUCAUCUGAAAAAUUUUCCUGCCCUCGUCCCUUUUUGCGCUUGAAUUUUACGACGGAAAAAAAUAAUCAAAUAUAUCUACCACGCGAUUUUCUCCGCUUUGCUAUUUUCUUAGCGUUAUUUCGUUUGAAAAGAAUAGAAAUGAAGAAUCAUCCCUUUUUUGCCGAGGUGAAAAAUGUGUGGAUUAUUAGGUAGAUGCAUGUAGAUGUGAUAAAAUGGGAUAUACAUACCAUGAGCUCGUAAAAGGUACCUGCACACACGCUCGCACGCAGGGAUAUAGAUGUGUAAUGGAGUCGCAAAUCCUCCCCAUUCUACGAACUUAGCCCCCAGGCGGGCACUGUGUUAAUUAAUCUGACAGCUAUGAGCUAACCCAAACACCCUUUUUACCGUGCUUUCAGGAUCCUUGGUGGUGUUUCGCUCUUGGCUCGAAUAUACCUAUGCGUAUAACAGUGUAGGUAUCUGUACAUUAUACACGUGAUUAAAAAGAAAAAAAAAAAAAGUAAAUGAACAGGGAGAACGACAGAUUUUCGCGGAAAAUGGGCAGAAAUCAUGGGCCGCAGGCUGUUUGUAUAUGGGGGUACAAUUUUCGCGACACCCCAUCACGUUUGAUCGAAGAGGGAUGAGAAAAAAAGGAAAAAAGUGUUCUUUCCCUCCUACCUAAUCGGGUAAUUAAUCAUAAAUGAUUUAAUAUGUAAUUUACUUACUUUUCAUCCACCUUUGUAUACACAUAGAAUUUUACACGUUAUACCCCCGUUUGAACUGUGACCGCAGUGGUCGUCACUUGUCUUAUCGUCAACAAAGAUGGCGGCGUGCGAUCGCCCUUUUUUUUUUCCUAGUGGCGCUCGAACGUCACCGCGAUGUAUCAGGUAUUCCGAAUGUCAUUUGUUUUGGCUGAUGUUUGUAUGAUGUAGUGAGCUAAUUAAAUUCGGUGUAAUUGUGCUCGAGUUCUUUCAAACAAUACGCGCUGUGAUGAAUCCUGCCGUGUCACAAACAUGCCUGGCUUGGAAUCGCUGUAAUCGCUUUAUGGGUUCUGCAACCUUCUGGUCCUCGGCUAUCGAACACCUCGACGGUCGAGCGAACGUCACCCAGGACUCUGCUACGUAAACUGACUGCAGCAACGGUGAAAAAUGAGCUGACUUAUGGGAUUAUUUGAGGAAAAAAAAAAAUGGAGAAGAUGAAGAAGAAGAAGAAGAAAAAAAAAGAAAUACCCUCGACGAAAAUGAAAACGCAGGCACACGACGCGGGAUAAACUUAACGCUGGCAGCUAUAAAUUUUCGUUAACCGACUAAUAAUGAUGUACGCAACGUUAGUCUUCGACUGAGAUACCGGACGAAAGUAUAUAGUCGUGAAAUGCAUCUAAUACGAAGAAUAACGGGAGAGGCAUGCAUGGAAGGAAAUCAUAAACUCCUCGACACCUCCGUUCUCCUGGACAAACAAGAAGCUAGAGCUCUGCGGACGACUGAGACGCGUUUUCAGACUAAACGAGAGGAAACCUUAAUAAUAUACUGUGAGAGGGAGAAGAAGAAGAAGAAGAAGAGGUCAAAGAAGACGCGUCCAUUAAUUCACCACGGGUAGUACGGUGGCAGCUUUUCAAGUUUGAGCCACGAGGACGCUCGUCGGAGGGUGAAGGAGAGCAAGGGAGACGAAGAAUCGAGGAGGAAAGGGAAGUUUAAAUGGAAUGAGAGCGCUUUCGGGGCACUGCGAGCUAAUUCUCGUACCGCUUCGAAUACACGAAAAGGGAAAGAAGAAAAAUAAAGAUCACGAGGAAGAGGGGGAGGAGGGGGGGAGGGGGGGAGGGGGAGGAGGCCUGAAGUCAAUUUGUCGGGGAAUGCGUGCGGUAGCAACACGUGCGCGCCACUCUGAAGCAUCAAGAGCACAACUCUCUUAAUUUUCAUUCUCUUAUAAUACCCUAUAGGUAUAUCGUACCUAUACACCCUCCUCUCUUUCAUCAGAGGGACGAUAAACGAAAAACGAAACCAGACCGAGAAGCUGACGGACUGCUCUUUUCAACUUUUCGAACCAACUUGUACGUAUAAUAAAAAUGACGAUUGGGAAAACAUUCUCAUCCGCACGUUCUUCAACGCGUCAAUUCUAAUUCCGUUUCUUUCCCUUAAGUUUUUUUGUUGUUUUUUUUUUCAUUUCGUCUCAUUCGUCUCCUUCGCAUUUCCAACGCGAUCUCGAGACUUCGUUCGUACAACGUGAAAGUGACUGGCGAAUCGCUAGUUCCUAAUUGACGUCCCAUGAAAAUCGAUUAAUCCGAACAAAAAUACAAAAAUCCCUCGAACCGCAAAAAACUAUUUACAGAUAUAAUAGAACAGGAAAAUCGACACGUUCGUAUUUCAAUCGUAAGAAUCUCUGUUACUUUAGGCAGCUAAUACACGACACAAAAAUUUAUAGAACUCACAAGAUCGAAUAAAUCACUUAUAAAUGAUAAUCCCAAGAGAGUAUUACGAUCUCCGCAUCUAAUGUUUGCCAACAGGGGAUGAUCUUUUGAAAAAAGAAAAGUAGGUGAGCCGCGUCGUCGCCCGCCUGUGAUCCGCACGCGGCAAAGUAGUACAUAAAAUCUAUGUAUCGCAUCCCGCGUGUACACAUGGAUGUACGCAUCUAUAAUAGAUGGAGAAAGUAUGUACAUCCCGCACGCGGUGGAUCCUUCGUCCUUUUCGUUCUCCUCCUCGAUAAAGAAUUUCUCUUCACCUCGUACGAAAUCGAGGCUACGUUCCAUGGCUACGUAUAUUCGUAAUCAGCACGAUGAUAACGUGUGUCACACGGAGUCGCGCUGUGUACGGUACGAACGUAUAGCCCAUACAUGUAUGUAUAUGUAAACGCGUUGUAUAUAUUCGCGUGUUAUACUAUAGAUGGUAUUAGUAGGUAUUAGGUGUUGGCCUGGGAACAAGUGCACAUGCUAUGAUCCCGGCCCAUCCCUUCGAGUUCGGAUAAUUCUUUAAGUGCUUCCUCCCCCACCCUAUUUUACGCCCUGGAACAUUCUCUGCCAACCAACCAACCAACGACCUCCUCCUCAACACCUGCGACAACCCACCCGCAAGAAAAUCGAAAAAAUAUAUUCUCCCAUUCUACCGAGUUGUACGUCUAUUUUUAUCUAUAUAUAUAUAUUGUAUAAAUUGUUAACACGAGUACGUCGUAGCGUGACGUGAUAUUUUUUUUUUCCACACAAGGUACGAUAACCGACGUACGAUUUUGAAAAAUUGAAGUUUUGUUCGCUCCUCUCGAAAUCUUUGUGGAAAAGAAAUUCGGAUGAAAUUUGAACGCGACGUUUAUAGGUUGAGGAUAGAUGGGGGAGAUGUGUUAGUUCCUAUGUUUUUGCUCCACCUUUUUUCGAUAUUUCUUUUUCUCUUUUCCCGAGCAAUUUGUUCGCGCUAAAGUAUAUCGAGAGGGGAGAUAAAGAGAGGAAGCUAUACAGAAAGUGUAGAAAUAUUGGCUGGUUGGUUUGUUCUGUCUCCAUCCGUGCUAUAACUUAACGCCUGUGUCCGUCGUCUGUUUCGAUAUAUAUGAGCGUACGGCAGAAGAAGUAGGAGAAGAUGGAGACGAAAAGAAGAAGAUGCCCUAGAGGGCCACCCACAGCCUCCGCACUUCAGCUGAACGAGCAUCUGGAGGAAAUUAGCUGCUAGCUACUAAACCAUAUACCAAAACUACUAAGUGAGGAAGAAGCGAAAAAUGAGGGCAAAAAAUGAAUAAAAGAAAUUAAAAA
Molecule: long non-coding RNA, 5497 nt
Organism: Athalia rosae (coleseed sawfly)
Lineage: Eukaryota; Metazoa; Arthropoda; Insecta; Hymenoptera; Athaliidae
Exons: 5
Source: RefSeq, a predicted model, not a curated record